Molecule: ribosomal RNA, 418 nt
Organism: Toxoplasma gondii ME49
Lineage: Eukaryota; Apicomplexa; Conoidasida; Eucoccidiorida; Sarcocystidae
Source: RefSeq, a predicted model, not a curated record
GCAAUUUCAGGCACUUUUAACUCUCUUUCCAAAGAACUUUUCAUCUUUCCCUCACGGUACUUGUUUGCUAUCGGUCUCGCGCCAGUACUUAGCUUUAUGUGAAACCUACCACACAUUUUGCGCUCAAAUCCCGAUGAACGCGACUCUAUAAAAGCGUACCGUACGUGGAACAAAAAACGCAGGGGAAGGACGGGAUUCUCACCCUCUAUGAUGUUCUUUCCCAAGAAACUUAACCCUGCGCUUCCACUGGUAACGCCUCUCGAGGCUACAAGUCAACAGCUCGGAAAGAGCAGUUGAUUUCCACUUUGAGCUGAUCCCGGUUCACUCGCCGUUACUAAGGGAAUCAUAGUUAUUUUCUUCUCCUCCGCUUAAUAAUAUGCUUAAGUUCAGCGGGUAACCUCGCCUGAUUUCAGGUCUG